This 71-nucleotide transfer RNA is filed under the name Gammaproteobacteria bacterium. Its description in RNAcentral is "tRNA-Cys". It matches the Rfam family "tRNA". Rfam says of the family: Transfer RNA (tRNA) molecules are approximately 80 nucleotides in length. Lineage: Bacteria; Pseudomonadati; Pseudomonadota; Gammaproteobacteria. The record is from RNAcentral.
GGCUGAAUGGCAGAGUGGUUAUGCAGCGGACUGCAAAUCCGUUGACGUCGGUUCAAUUCCGGCUUCAGCCU